Molecule: transfer RNA, 88 nt
Filed under: bacterium
Lineage: Bacteria
Description: tRNA-Leu
Rfam family: tRNA
About the family: Transfer RNA (tRNA) molecules are approximately 80 nucleotides in length. Their secondary structure includes four short double-helical elements and three loops (D, anti-codon, and T loops). Further hydrogen bonds mediate the characteristic L-shaped molecular structure. tRNAs have two regions of fundamental functional importance: the anti-codon, which is responsible for specific mRNA codon recognition, and the 3' end, to which the tRNAs corresponding amino acid is attached (by aminoacyl-tRNA synthetases). tRNAs cope with the degeneracy of the genetic code in two manners: having more than one tRNA (with a specific anti-codon) for a particular amino acid; and 'wobble' base-pairing, i.e. permitting non-standard base-pairing at the 3rd anti-codon position.
Source: RNAcentral
GCCGGGGUGGCGAAAUUGGUAGACGCAAGGGACUUAAAAUCCCUCGGAGGUUUCCUCCGUGCCGGUUCGAUUCCGGCCCUCGGCACCA